GAUGAACGCUGGCGGCGUGCCUAAUACAUGCCAGUCGAGCGAAUGGACGAGAAGCUUGCUUCUCUGAUGUUAGCGGCGGACGGGUGAGUAACACGUGGAUAACCUACCUAUAAGACUGGGAUAACUUCGGGAAACCGGAGCUAAUACCGGAUAAUAUUUUGAACCGCAUGGUUCAAAAGUGAAAGACGGUCUUGCUGUCACUUAUAGAUGGAUCCGCGCUGCAUUAGCUAGUUGGUAAGGUAACGGCUUACCAAGGCAACGAUGCAUAGCCGACCUGAGAGGGUGAUCGGCCACACUGGAACUGAGACACGGUCCAGACUCCUACGGGAGGCAGCAGUAGGGAAUCUUCCGCAAUGGGCGAAAGCCUGACGGAGCAACGCCGCGUGAGUGAUGAAGGUCUUCGGAUCGUAAAACUCUGUUAUUAGGGAAGAACAUAUGUGUAAGUAACUGUGCACAUCUUGACGGUACCUAAUCAGAAAGCCACGGCUAACUACGU
This 496-nucleotide ribosomal RNA is filed under the name uncultured bacterium. RNAcentral describes it as "partial 16S ribosomal RNA". It matches the Rfam family "Bacterial small subunit ribosomal RNA", at positions 28 to 506 of the family's 1533-position model. The record is from RNAcentral.